CUGAUAAAUCAACUAAUGUCUAUCUCAACAUGAUUGAUGCAGUUGUCGUAAUGUUAGCUUCUUUAGCUUUUUCGACCAGUGCUGAAGGGACUGAUGGACAACUUUGGAAGUGUGAGAUUCUUCAGACUGCAGAGUGCGUUUUAUGUAUCCGAUUUAAAUUACCCAGCUACCAGCUAGCUUCCUGAUUCCACAUACUCUGUUCAGAAUUUGUUCGUGAUCAAGUUUCUUUGUACAGCUACCCUUAAAACAGUAUUUCAGAAGAUGAAAAUUGCAUGCGACAGGUAGAUGGACACCUUUGCUUGUUUCUAUUUUUUUUUUUUUUUUCUGCUAUGCAAGUUUGAUAUCAUUAAACUGUGAUAAUUACAUGUGAUUAUAAAAUGUGAGCUCUACGCUCCGCAUGGUUCAACUGAACCUAAAAUACAAAGUAGGUUCCUGCUCUAAGCCUCUAUGGCUCUAACCUCCUAACCCAAGUUGGAAUACCCCCGAUCACUAUCAUUUCAUUGUAGUUUAGAGUGGAACUUUUCUUGGCAGCCUGAUCAGCACCAAAGUUACAUUCUGCAAAUAGAAUUAAGUACCAAAGUGGGUACCCUUUUCAAGUACUGCCGACAUCUUGUUUUCAGCACCCAAGCCAUUUCCUCUGUUUUGAAAGAUGCCACAGCUGCCUGUGAAUCUGAGUCAAUGAUCACAUAAUUCCAUCCUCUAUUCAUUGCUAUUUGUACUCCAGAAGGCCACAACACUCACCUUUGUGACUAGUAGUCACUCCCAAGCCUUUACUGACAGCUUCACUACUCCUGCAUCAUCCUGGACAGUGCUCCCCAGCCUGCAUUUCCUGGACACCCUCAUGCUGCUCCAUCCAUAUUAAUUUUGAUUUUGCCCCUUGGUGGAGGAGACAACUGACAUUCCUUUAGGUUUGGAGCCUAGGAGGCCUCAUAGUUAUAUCCCAUUUCCUGCAAAUGAGUAAGUCUGUCAGACUGUUCUGAUUGGUGGCUGUACACAGUUGCACUUUGCAGAACUGAGAUUAAUAAGACUUCUCUGUUUGCAGCACUGCCAGUGUUUCAUGAUGAGGAGGACGAGAGAUGGACUCAAUCCGACCGUUAGAUGGACUGUUGGCAAUGCUUAUGAACUUUUUCGACCAAAAUUACCCACUCCAACAAGCUUGAAAAACCCUUCAUUUGAAAAGGCCUACUACAAACAGUUCAGUAACUAACAUGUGCUUUGGU
RNAcentral lists this long non-coding RNA (1220 nucleotides) under Aquilegia coerulea. RNAcentral's name for it is "long non-coding RNA (ACOE_LNC000216)". Lineage: Eukaryota; Viridiplantae; Streptophyta; Magnoliopsida; Ranunculales; Ranunculaceae. The record is from RNAcentral.